Molecule: long non-coding RNA, 1749 nt
Filed under: Gallus gallus (chicken)
Lineage: Eukaryota; Metazoa; Chordata; Aves; Galliformes; Phasianidae
Description: lncRNA (ENSGALG00010004740.1)
Source: RNAcentral
AACAAUGUGCGAUCAGUGAUUUCUUGUGCUUUAAGGUAUUAGUGACCUGAAAUCCUGGACCCUCAUGACUGGUUACCUUACUGAGAUAUUGAGAAGUUCAGAUACCGAUGUCUUUGAAGACUCUGUUUACAUCAUCCAGCUCAAAUAGCCAUUGGAAAGAGAUUAAAAAAAUGAAAUAACCACAACCAAUGAACAAGCCAGCAGUGUUCUGGAAUAUCUACAACAUCAAUUUGCCUGCUUAUCUUAGGUGUUGCCAUAAACCUUGCGUCAGAGAACUGCUACACUUGCACAGAUCAGCCUUGCAACUCAGGCAUCAGAUAGAUGAAGAUUCUUGAAAACUCUUUGGUGAAAGUCCUGUUUUAUAAGAAAAUGUUCCAGGGUAAUUUCGGUCUGCAUAAAAGAAAAUCUGUCAACAACAUCUUGUUUGCCUGGAUUUCUUGUCCAUUCUAGUUUCCUCUAAAAGAUCAAUCUCCACACAAAGCUGUUUCCACUGUAGCUGCAGAAUGAACUGUGAAACAUAUUUAAGAAGAAAUAUCCAUGUACAGGAGGCUUUGUCUGCUUUUCAGCUGGAACUGGAAAUUCCCAGUUGAGCAGUAACUGGCAUGAUGAGAUUUCAUGGAGAUUAUCGACCAAAUAAACUUCAGCAGCUUCAAGGGAACCAUUAUGGACACAUCAUGUUUAUUUCAAUAAUGACCUGCGUUCCUUUCACAAUUAUUCUCAGAGAACCUGACAGAGUUACCAUGAAAGAUGAAGAUAAUCAUUCCAGUCCAAUAUUUUUAGGCAGCCUUUUAGUGCUCAUGUCAUUCAAGCCCUGAAAGUCAAUCAUGGAAAUUGGAUGGAGACAGCUCUUGAAAAGAGACAAGGUAAAAAAAGAAAAAGGAAGAACAGGAGACAGAAUGUAAGCCAGUGAAGAGGAUGCAUUGCUGUAACUCAGGAAGUCCUGGUUCUGCUCUGUGUUACCACUGAUGUCACUGAUGACUUUGAGGAAAGACAUUGACGCCCUGGAGCGUGUUCAGAGAAGGGCAAUGAAGAUGAUGAGGGGUCUGGCGCACAAGUCUUACGAGAGUGGAUGAGGUAACUGGGACUGUUUUGUCCGGAGAAGAGGAGGCUCAAGGAAGACCUUUUUGCUAUCUACAACUCCCUGACAGGAGGCUGUGGUGAGAGGGCAUUGGCCUCUUCUGCCAGGUAACAGUGAUAGGAUGACAGGGAAUGGCCUCAGGUUGCACCAGGGGAGUUUCAGGUUGGAUAUUAGUUCCUUCUCUGAGAGAGCUAUUAGACAGUACAGCAAGUUGCUCAGAAAGGUGGCUUAGUCAUCGACCUGGGAGGUUACUUUAAUAUGAUAUGAUUCUAAUAAACAUAGAAGUGUUGUGGAAGUCCAGAAAAGAACUGUACCUCUUCCUGAAUCAGUACAUGGUUAUUUAAGGAUCAUCUUGCAUACCUAUAGUUCUGAAGUUGUGUCAUUUUUCAAUUCAUGACAGGCCAGAAAGAGAACACACAAAAUGGUAUGGUUGUUUAACCUGCUACUGAGGGCCUUCAAUUAGACAUGGCAAGUUCUCGACCCUUGCUUCAUCUUUUGGUACAUACUGUAAUAUGCUGCUGAUUUCAACUGCUAUUGUGAAAUUUAAAAAAUGCUAUACUUCAGAGUUGGUUAUAAAGCAUUUUUUCUGAUGUUCUAUAUUUAAAAAUAAAUGAGGGAAUAAAAUAUUUUUUUCAAAAACUGGGCAACAUACAAGCUUAGUGAAAACUCUG